AUUGAACGCUGGCGGCAUGCUUUACACAUGCAAGUCGAACGGCAGCGAGGAGAAGCUUGCUUCUCUGUCGGCGAGUGGCGAACGGGUGAGUAUAGCAUCGGAACGUGCCAAGUAUUGGGGGAUAACCAAACGAAAGUUUGGCUAAUACCGCGAAAGCCCUAAGGAGGAAAGUAGGGGACCUAAAUAAGGCCUUACGCUAUUUGAUCGGCCGAUGUCGGAUUAGCUAGUUGGUGGGGUAAUGGCUCACCAAGGCAAUGAUCCGUAGCGGGUCUGAGAGGACGAUCCGCCACACUGGGACUGAGACACGGCCCAGACUCCUACGGGAGGCAGCAGUGGGGAAUUUUGGACAAUGGGGGAAAGUCUGAUCCAGCCAUGCCGCGUGUAUGAAGAAGGCCUUAGGGUUGUAAAGUACUUUUGUUAGGGAAGAACAGCUAGUUUUUAAUAAAAAUUAGUGAUGACGGUACCUAAAGAAUAAGCCCCGGCUAACUACGUG
Molecule: ribosomal RNA, 493 nt
Filed under: uncultured bacterium
Lineage: Bacteria
Description: partial 16S ribosomal RNA
Rfam family: Bacterial small subunit ribosomal RNA
Source: RNAcentral